RNAcentral lists this ribosomal RNA (460 nucleotides) under uncultured bacterium. RNAcentral describes it as "partial 16S ribosomal RNA". It matches the Rfam family "Bacterial small subunit ribosomal RNA", at positions 338 to 795 of the family's 1533-position model. The record is from RNAcentral.
CCUACGGGAGGCUGCAGUGAGGAAUAUUGGUCAAUGGCCGGAAGGCUGAACCAGCCAUGCCGCGUGCAGGUCAGUGCCCUAUGGGCGUUAAACUUCUUUUGUGCGGGAGCAAUAAUGGUCACGUGUGGCCAGACGAGAGUACCGUACGAAUAAGCAUCGGCUAACUCCGUGCCAGCAGCCGCGGGAAUACGGGGGAGGCAAGCGUUAUCCGGAUUUAUUGGGUUUAAAGGGUGCGUAGGCUGUGAGGUAAGUCAGCGGGGAAAUGCCCCCGCUCAACGGGGGGAAGUGCCAUUGAUACUGCCUUGCUGGAAUGCGGAUGACGCAGGAGGAAUGUGUGGUGUAGCGGUGAAAUGCAUAGAUAUCACACAGAACACCGAUUGCGAAGGCAGCUCACGAAUCCGCGAUUGACGCUGAUGCACGAAAGCGCGGGUAUCGAACAGGAUUAGAUACCCGAGUAGUC